Molecule: ribosomal RNA, 245 nt
Filed under: uncultured bacterium
Lineage: Bacteria
Description: partial 16S ribosomal RNA
Rfam family: Bacterial small subunit ribosomal RNA
Source: RNAcentral
UACGGAGGGUGCGAGCGUUAUUCGGAAUUACUGGGCGUAAAGCGCGUGCAGGCGGGUGUAUAAGUCUGAUGUGAAAGCCCCGGGCUUAACCUGGGAAGUGCAUUGGAAACUAUACAUCUUGAGUACUGGAGAGGAAGGGGGAAUUCCCGGUGUAGAGGUGAAAUUCGUAGAGAUCGGGAGGAAUACCAGUGGCGAAGGCGCCCUUCUGGACGGUAACUGACGCUGAGACGCGAAAGCGUGGGGAG